This 77-nucleotide transfer RNA is filed under the name Hyphomicrobium sp. MC1. RNAcentral's name for it is "tRNA-Arg (TCT) (tRNA-Arg-TCT-1-1)". It matches the Rfam family "tRNA". From Rfam's summary of the family: Transfer RNA (tRNA) molecules are approximately 80 nucleotides in length. Lineage: Bacteria; Pseudomonadati; Pseudomonadota; Alphaproteobacteria; Hyphomicrobiales; Hyphomicrobiaceae. The record is from RNAcentral. RNAcentral also lists the same sequence under 3 other names.
GGUCCCGUAGCUCAGUUGGAUAGAGCAUCUGCCUUCUAAGCAGAGGGUCGCAGGUUCAAGUCCUGCCGGGAUCGCCA